AUGGUGCACCCCGGCUGGGUCUGCCUGCUGCAGAGCCUCCUCCUGCUAGCCAGAGCGCGGCAGAGUCGCGGCCCCGCCGGCGCCUGCCCGCUGCGCGGAAAGACUGAACUGAACUCCUUUCUGUGGACCAUCAAGAGAGAUCCCCCAUCUUACUUCUUUGGCACCAUCCAUGUCCCAUACACCCGUGUCUGGGAUUUCAUCCCAGAGAACUCCAAGAAGGCCUUUCAGCAGAGUCACAUAGUGUACUUUGAGCUGGACCUCACCGACCCCUACACCAUCUCUGCUCUCACCAGCUGCCAGCUGCUGCCACAGGGGGAGAACCUUCAGGACUUGCUGCCCCGUGACAUCUACCGCCGGCUCAAGCGGCACCUGGAAUAUGUCAAACUCAUGAUGCCAUCUUGGAUGACACCAGACCAGCGGGGCAAGGGGCUGUAUGCAGACUACCUCUUCAAUGCCAUUGCUGGCAACUGGGAGCGGAAGAGGCCAGUGUGGGUGAUGCUGAUGGUGAAUUCUCUGACGGAGGUAGACAUCAAGUCUCGAGGAGUGCCCGUCCUGGAUCUGUAUCUGGCCCAGGAAGCAGAACGGCUUAGGAAGCAAACAGGCGCUGUGGAGAAGGUGGAGGAGCAGUGCCACCCACUGAACGGGCUUAACUUCUCCCAGGUGAUCUUUGCUUUGAAUCAGACUCUCUUGCAGCAGGAGAGCCUCCGAGCAGGCAGUUUCCAGAUCCCCUAUACGACAGAAGAUCUUAUCAAGCAUUACAACUGUGGAGACCUCAACUCUAUCAUCUUCAACCAUGACACUUCUCAAGUCCCAAAUUUCAUUAAUGCUACACUGCCAGCCCACGAGCGUAUUACUGCCCAAGAGAUAGACAGCUACUUCCGUCAGGAGCUCAUCUACAAGAGAAAUGAGCGAAUGGGAAGGAGGGUGAAGGAGCUGCUGGAAGAAUACCCUGACAAGAGCUUCUUUUUUGCAUUUGGAGCUGGUCACUUCAUGGGCAACAACACAGUGAUCGAUGUUUUGAGGAGAGAAGGGUAUGAUGUAGAGCACACCCCAGCUGGACAAGCCAUCAACAACGGAAAACUCCCCAAAACUUUGUUAGCCUUCUCAUCGUCCUCACCAGCACAUCACCCUUAUGUAGUGUCCCAGGAGCUCCCACUGCCGUUGCAUACCCUGAAAGAGGAGGAGGAAGAACUCUUGCCUCACCUGCUGCUUCCUGAUGGCAUCGAUGUGCUGGAGAAGGUAGAGAGGAAGUACAAAAAGAAGAAGCAGCAGCAGAAGAAGCAAAGACUGCGGCAGUUUAAUGACCUAUGGGUUCGCUUUGAAGAAAGUGCCACCGACCCUCCUCCCGGUAUCCGUAUCAUCAAUGGCUACAUCACAGUGGAACCCCAGCCCCGGGGCCAUGGACGGUUCAGUCCCGCUCACACAGACACCAGCUCGCACAGACACAGUGGCUCUCGCCAGCUCUCCCACUCCCUUCUGCUCUCACUACUGACUUUGGCUAUGCAUAUGAUUAGGCUGCACUGAGAUGUAAGGGGAGCCGAGCGGCAGGACUCUCCCCUUAAAAAGCAAACAAGAGACUUAAGUUAAAAAUAACAAUAAAAACGGAAGACUUUGUGAGUGGGACACGUAUUCUGUGGGAUGUUCUCAAACUGCUUCCUUUUCCUGAACCUAGAUCAUUAACACUAUUAACUGGUUUGACCUGCCCAAUACAGGAGAAGAUAUUUUAAUGGAAGUGUUAUUUAAUCCUUCUCUUGCAGAAGAGUGACUUCAUGUUAUCCCAUAAUGCUUUGGGGAAAUGUAUAAUGUUGCUAUAACAUAGCUGUUGUUUAGCUGUAUGAGCCCAACUGAGUUGUACUUUUUGCACCUUCAGUGCCUUGUGUGGGGAUUUACACAUCACUAGCUUAUUUUUUAGAACAGAGUAUUUUGGUCAUAUGAACACAGCUGGGAGGAAGAGGACCUCCUCUUGUGACCAUUCUGACUCAUGAGAAACAUGUUCUCCCUCAUCUUAGAAGGUCUUCAUAGCACGGGAGGGUCUCAUGAGAUUUUUUGUCUCACUCGUGAGAGGACUUUCAGAAAAUUCAGGCCUUGGCAAUUUGCAUGCACAGCAGAUCCCUGCCCCUACGAGACAUCAAAGGAUAUGAUUUCUUCAGAUUUCUCUUCCUAUGAAAAUGCUUCGCUACUUUUCGUUGCUUGUAAAAAGCACAUUUUUCCUCCUCCUUCUGCUGCACAGUUCUGCUUUCCUGCAGGAGGAAAAAUGUUUCUAGAUGUGUUAACAGAAUUUUCAUCUAAAGAUCUCAAAUCCUGGUCCACUUCCAGGAGGACUGUACGUAAACAAAGCCUUAGAAUGGUGAGGAAAACAAAGAAAGCAGAGUCUGAAUAUUGCUGUUUGCAACAGGAGAGAAGUUUUUACGCCCUGGGGUACAAGACAGAAUCAAUUCAUUGCAUAUUCUUUAUCAAAAGACAUCAACAUCUCAGAGACAUUCUGUUUUCCACGGGAUGACAUAGCAGACAGGUUGGUGAUGUGCUCCUCUCUGUCUCCCUCUCUGACUGGUCAUCUGCUGGCGUAAACUCUCAUAGAGUUGGUGUGUCUGGCCUUAUUUUCCUUGGGCUCAAUGUGAUCUGAACAGAUCUGCUCAAAUGGGGCAUAGCUUAGUUAGAGCCAUGCAUUGCAAGCCUGACAAACUGAGCAAAUGCUUGUGUAUUUGUGAGUGCAUCUGAGGCAGGCAUGAAAGGCAUUACACCAGAAUGUUCUGCUAUCUGCUAGCCCAUGCUUUGGCACUGUGGAAUUGCUGUCCCCUCUCAGAUGUGGCACAGACUCAGUGGGGUCUGCAAACAUUGGAAGAAGGGGUUGGAGAGCUCUCAUGCCCUUUUUCCAUUACCAGAUAAAGGCUGCCCUUCACGAAAUAGUCGCAGACUGGCAGUUCUCUUUAUUCACUCCUGCAUAGUUACACUCCUUCAAACUGGCAAGUGAGGAAAUGAGUUAGAGGUAAGGCUUAAAAUCCACUGACACAUACUAAGGGGUAUCAGAAAGGCCCACCACACCUGGAAGAUCAAGAACCUGGGGAUUCCUCCUCCCUAGCUGCUUGAGCUUUGCUCAAGAUCUCUGACCUAGUAUGAAAAUAGGAAAUGGAAUGUUUUUGGUGUUUUGUGGCACUAUUAUGUAAUUCUGUGGUGGGUGGUGAGCCUUUGUUGGAAGGGGGUAUUUUUGGAGAGAUCUCCUUUCAGAUGUAUGUUUAAACACCGGAAGAAGGGGCAAUGGGAGAGGGAGUUGGAGCCUCUUCCUGAGGGGUCCACAUGUUCAUACAACACCUGCUGCACAGGACAGAUGUUUGUGCUGGAGCUUUUUAUUUCAUGUAAAGGCAAGAGCAAAGUCAAGGGCACAAGACAGACGAUACUCAGACUUUAAAGCUUCCAUUGCUGAAACAAAUUCCAUGAUGCUAAAAGCAAGAAACAUAAUCGUGUCUCUGCCUUUGGAAAUGCAGUAUGGAAGAACAAAUCACAGAAGGCUGAUGACAAGAUCUCGAGAACUCCAGUGUAGUCUCAGCUUCCACAAUAUCUUUAGAUGGCAGGGAGUGUGGCUGGUGGAUCUCAUCCUCUGUUUGCAGAGGGGGCACAUGGGUGUGCUCUCAGCCCACCGCAGGAUGCAGCCAAAGCAGAACUGGUGCAGAAGACUCAGUUAUGCUUGUGUAACCUUGUAAGCCUGUCAUCUAUCAAUGGGAUCAGUAUGUGAUGGGUGUGGAGUGAGACCUUUGGGAUUGUAAGUAGAAGACACGGGAGUGUUUAUUGGUGGAGAUGACCCACCUUGUGCCCUGCAUAGAAAUGAAGCAGUGCCUCCUCUGUCGAUGUUUGCCUUUGCAACGUGUUGAGGGAGGUUCUAAAGAAACAGUAAUAGCAGCACAGCAGGCCUCCAGGCCCAGCAGAGGUCAGGUCUCCCCCCUGCACAGCGCUGACAAAGGCACUGGUAGCAACACGGAGACUUUUCUGUGAUUUUAUUGCAGUCAACUCUCGGAAAGGG
Molecule: RNA transcript, 4015 nt
Organism: Lagopus leucura (white-tailed ptarmigan)
Lineage: Eukaryota; Metazoa; Chordata; Aves; Galliformes; Phasianidae
Gene name: metalloprotease TIKI1-like
Exons: 8
Source: RefSeq, a predicted model, not a curated record